UACGUAGGCAGCGAGCGUUGUUCGGAAUUACUGGGCGUAAAGAGUGUGUAGGUGGUGCUCUAAGUUUGGUGUGAAAUCUCCCGGCUCAACCGGGAGGGUGCAUCGAAAACUGGAGUGCUAGAGGAUGGGAGAGGCAAGCGGAAUUCCUGGUGUAGCGGUGAAAUGCGUAGAUAUCUGGAGGAACACCGGUGGCGAAGGCGGCAUUCUGGACUACAACUGACACUGAGGAGCGAAAGCCAGGGGAGCAAACGGG
RNAcentral lists this ribosomal RNA (253 nucleotides) under uncultured bacterium. Its description in RNAcentral is "partial 16S ribosomal RNA". It matches the Rfam family "Bacterial small subunit ribosomal RNA", at positions 524 to 776 of the family's 1533-position model. The record is from RNAcentral.